This 412-nucleotide ribosomal RNA is filed under the name Verrucomicrobiota bacterium. RNAcentral describes it as "Verrucomicrobia bacterium partial 16S ribosomal RNA". It matches the Rfam family "Bacterial small subunit ribosomal RNA", at positions 355 to 776 of the family's 1533-position model. The record is from RNAcentral. Lineage: Bacteria; Pseudomonadati; Verrucomicrobiota.
UGGGGAAUAUUGCGCAAUGGGGGAAACCCUGACGCAGCGACGCCGCGUGCGGGAUGAAGGCCUUCGGGUUGUAAACCGCUUUUGAUUGGGAGCAAGCCUUUUGGGUGAGUGUACCUGUCGAAUAAGCGCCGGCUAACUACGUGCCAGCAGCCGCGGUAAUACGUAGGUGGCAAGCGUUGUCCGGAAUUAUUGGGCGUAAAGCGCGCGCAGGUGGUUUAGAAAGUCUGAUGUGAAAGCCCACGGCUCAACCGUGGAGGGUCAUUGGAAACUAAUAAACUUGAGUGCGGGAGAGAAAAGUGGAAUUCCUAGUGUAGCGGUGAAAUGCGUAGAGAUUAGGAGGAACACCGGUGGCGAAAGCGGCUUUUUGGCCUGCAACUGACACUGAGGCGCGAAAGCGUGGGGAGCAAACAGG